UGGCUCAGACAGUAAAAGCAUCUGCCUACAAUGCAGGAGACCCAGGUUCAAUACCUGG
RNAcentral lists this transfer RNA (58 nucleotides) under Ovis aries (sheep). It matches the Rfam family "tRNA", at positions 8 to 63 of the family's 71-position model. Rfam says of the family: Transfer RNA (tRNA) molecules are approximately 80 nucleotides in length. Their secondary structure includes four short double-helical elements and three loops (D, anti-codon, and T loops). The record is from Rfam by way of RNAcentral. Lineage: Eukaryota; Metazoa; Chordata; Mammalia; Artiodactyla; Bovidae.